GAGAGAGAGAGAGAAUCCUAAGCAGACUCCUCAUUGUCAGUGAAGAGUCUGACUUGGGGCUCAAUUUCAUGGUUCAGGAGAUUAUGAUCUGAGCUGAAAUCAAGAGUGGGACGCUUAACCGAAAGAGCCACCCAGGUGCCCUGAAAAUAUAUGUCUCUUAUUAAGCUACCCCAUGCAUGGCACUUUAUUAUGGCAACCCUAGCAAACAAAUAGAUCUCCACGUUGUCACCCCUGUCACCAGCAAAUGAGCCUCUCUGCCUCUUUCCAAGGAAGAAGAGCCCAUGCAACAACGAGUUGUUGUACGGUAACCAGUAGGAUAUCAGGCACUGUGUGUAGGCACAGGAGCUACAAAGGAAAGUGACAUCACGAUGUGUGUUCUUUUCUUUCUUAAUUCCCCACCUAUCCAGGAAUAGCAAAUUCAAGCUAGGAAAGCCAUAUGAAAUGUAAGGCAGUUCUGGCCA
Molecule: long non-coding RNA, 461 nt
Organism: Panthera uncia (snow leopard)
Lineage: Eukaryota; Metazoa; Chordata; Mammalia; Carnivora; Felidae
Exons: 2
Source: RefSeq, a predicted model, not a curated record